UAACAUCACCAUGUUUUUCUCGUUGGCCAU
Molecule: non-coding RNA, 30 nt
Filed under: Mus musculus (house mouse)
Lineage: Eukaryota; Metazoa; Chordata; Mammalia; Rodentia; Muridae
Source: RNAcentral